GAUGAAGAACGUAGCGAAAUGCGAUAAGUAAUGUGAAUUGCAGAAUUCAGUGAAUCAUCGAAUCUUUGAACGCACAUUGCGCCCAUUAGCAUUCUAGUGGGCAUGCCUGUUCGAGCGUCAUUUCAACCCUUAAGCCCUGUUGCUUAGCGUUGGGAGCCUACAGUACUGUAGCUCCCCAAAGUUAGUGGCGGAGUCGGUUUCACACUCUAGACGUAGUAAUUUUUUCUCGUCUGUAGUUGAGCCGGUCCACUGCCGUAAAACACCCAAUUUAUCAAGGUUGACCUCGGAUCAGGUAGGAAUACCCGCUGAACUUAAGCAUAUCAAUAAGCGGAGGA
RNAcentral lists this unclassified non-coding RNA (335 nucleotides) under soil metagenome. Its description in RNAcentral is "partial contains 5.8S ribosomal RNA, internal transcribed spacer 2, and large subunit ribosomal RNA". The stretch from base 1 to 120 matches the Rfam family "5.8S ribosomal RNA", at positions 35 to 154 of the family's 154-position model. The record is from RNAcentral.